AUUGAACGCUGGCGGCAUGCUUACCACAUGCAAGUCGAACGAGUGGCGGACGGGUGAGUAAUGCUUGGGAAUCUUGCUUAUGGAGGGGGAUAACUCCGGGAAACUGUAGCUAAUACCGCGUACCAUAGGAUGAGCCCAAGUGGGAUUAGGUAUUUUGUGAGUGUAAGGCUCACCAAGCCGACGAUCUCUAGCUGGUCUGAGAGGAUGACCAGGCCCACUGUGCCAGAGACACGGCCCAGACUCCGACGGGAGGCAGCAGUGGGGAAUAUUGCGCAAUGGGGGCAACCUGCCGCAGCCAUGCCGAGUGAAUGAAGAAGGUCUUCGGCUUGUAAAGCACUUUAAGUUGGGAGGCGUUACCAACAGAAUAAGCACCGGCUAACUUCGUGCCAGCCGCCGCGGUAAUAC
Molecule: ribosomal RNA, 405 nt
Filed under: uncultured bacterium
Lineage: Bacteria
Description: partial 16S ribosomal RNA
Rfam family: Bacterial small subunit ribosomal RNA
Source: RNAcentral